Molecule: ribosomal RNA, 771 nt
Filed under: uncultured Neocallimastigales
Lineage: Eukaryota; Fungi; Neocallimastigomycota; Neocallimastigomycetes; Neocallimastigales
Description: partial large subunit ribosomal RNA
Rfam family: Eukaryotic large subunit ribosomal RNA
Source: RNAcentral
UCAGACGAUGCGUCAUGCAUAUCAAUAAGCGGAGGAAAAGAAACUAACAAGGAUUCCCUCAGUAACGGCGAGUGAAGCGGGAAGAGCUCAAAUUUGAAAUCUUGAAAGGUCACCUUUCACGAAUUGUAGUUUAAAGAAGUGUUUUCUGUUACGAUCGUAAUAUAAGUUCUUUGGAAUAGGACAUCACAGAGGGUGAGAAUCCCGUCUAUGAUUGCGAUUUGUAGCUUUGUGAUACACUUUCAAAGAGUCGGGUUGUUUGGGAAUGCAGCCCAAAACGGGAGGUAAAUUUCUUCUAAGGCUAAAUAUUGGCGAGAGACCGAUAGCGAACAAGUACCGUGAGGGAAAGAUGAAAAGAACUUUGAAAAGAGAGUUAAAUAGUACGUGAAAUUGUCAAAAGGGAAGCGUUUAACACCAGUGUUGUUUUCUGAAAAUCAACCUCUGUUAGCUUUAUGCAUGUUUGUUUAGACCUAAUCAGCUAUCUUGCAUGUUCUAUUGUUUGCAGUGGUGCACUUUUCAGUUUACAGGUCAACAUCAGUUUUUUUUACCGUAAAAAAGUUAAAGAAAGGUAGCUCAUGGCUCCGGUCGUGAGUGUUAUAGUCUUUUUCCUAUGCGGUAGGAGAGACUGAGGUCUGCAGUGUAGGCUAUUUGGCUAGAUACUCAGGUGCUAUGUGAUACCAUUUCAUAAACAACUUGUUGAUUAUGUUUUGUCUAUUGCAUACUCGCUUGUACUAUCAUACCUACGCUUAGGAUGUUGAAGACUCUACAGAGAUA